RNAcentral lists this unclassified non-coding RNA (431 nucleotides) under soil metagenome. RNAcentral describes it as "partial contains 5.8S ribosomal RNA, internal transcribed spacer 2, and large subunit ribosomal RNA". The stretch from base 1 to 120 matches the Rfam family "5.8S ribosomal RNA", at positions 35 to 154 of the family's 154-position model. The record is from RNAcentral.
GAUGAAGAACGUAGUGAAAUGCGAUACGUAAUGUGAAUUGCAGAAUUCAGUGAAUCAUCGAAUCUUUGAACGCAUAUUGCGCUCUCUGGUAUUCCGGAGAGCAUGCUUGUUUGAGUAUCAGUAAACACCUCAACUCCCCUUUCUUUUUUGAAAUGGGAGCUGGACUUGAGUGAUCCCAACGCUUUUCUCACCGAAAAGUGGCGGGUUACUUGAAAUGCAGGUGCAGCUGGACUUUUCUCUGAGCUAAAAGCAUAUCUAUUUAGUCUGCCUAAAAACAGAUUAUUACCUUUGCUGCAGCUAACAUAAAGGAGAUUAGUUCUUGUGCUGACUGAUGCAGGAUUCACAGAGACAGCUUCGGCUGGCCUUUGUAAACUCGAUCUCAAAUCAAGUAAGACUACCCGCUGAACUUAAGCAUAGCAAUAAGCGGAUGA